UAACCUACUAAAUAGUGCUGCUAGCAUUUGCUGGUAUAGUCACUUCUUAGAGGGACUAUCGAUUUCAAGUCGAUGGAAGUUUGAGGCAAUAACAGGUCUGUGAUGCCCUUAGACGUUCUGGGCCGCACGCGCGCUACACUGACGGAGCCAGCGAGUAUAAACCUUGGCCGAGAGGUCUGGGAAAUCUUGUGAAACUCCGUCGUGCUGGGGAUAGAGCAUUGUAAUUGUUGCUCUUCAACGAGGAAUUCCUAGUAAGCGCAAGUCAUCAGCUUGCGUUGAUUACGUCCCUGCCCUUUGUACACACCGCCCGUCGCU
This 315-nucleotide ribosomal RNA is filed under the name uncultured fungus. RNAcentral's name for it is "SSU rRNA". It matches the Rfam family "Eukaryotic small subunit ribosomal RNA", at positions 1344 to 1680 of the family's 1831-position model. Lineage: Eukaryota; Fungi. The record is from RNAcentral.